Molecule: RNA transcript, 2875 nt
Organism: Octopus sinensis (East Asian common octopus)
Lineage: Eukaryota; Metazoa; Mollusca; Cephalopoda; Octopoda; Octopodidae
Gene name: ribonuclease Oy
Exons: 13
Source: RefSeq, a predicted model, not a curated record
AGAGAGAGAGAGAGAGAGGAGAGAGAGAGGCAGAUUGGGAAAGAAUAGUGAUAAGCUCUUUAAUGAAUUUUUCCUUCGUAAAUUUCGUUAUCAGUUUCGUUAAUAGUAACAUUAAAUUUUCUUACAACAGUAUAGUCUUAAAAUCAGUUAGAUAUUUUCGGUGUAAAUUUAUCUACGAUCUGUGAGUGGACGGUAUAUCUGAUAAGUGGCCAACUGAUUUGUUUACCCUGAUAACAACACACUCACACACACACACAUAUACGUAUAUAUACAUAUCAAAGUAAGCGGAGACGAAAGUUUUGGGUUUCGAUACAGCUGUUCAGUGACUAGCUUUACUCGUAUCUAAAUUUCAGUGGCAUAAGAGAUGUGGAGAAUAAAAUGUAUCCUCAGUGUAAGCUUGAUUGCAGUAAGUCUUCACUUGUAUAUCCCAACGAUAUCUGCAAGAGAUGUGUCUUUUGAUUCGUUUGUUUUCUCACAACAAUGGCUACCAACUUUUUGUAUGCAUGCAACAGAAGAGGUAAGAAUAGCUUGUAAAAUUCCAGACAUGGUGAAAAACUGGGUAAUCCAUGGAAUUUGGCCUGAAUCCUCUAAGAAACCAGAUCCUCCAGCUUUCUGCAAUUCCAGUUGGCACUUUAAUGAAUCAGAUAUCAAGUCCAUCGAGGAUGAACUGAAAAUACGUUGGCCUAAUGUCUUCACUUCUACAGGAAGGACCUCAUUUUGGAAACAUGAAUGGGAAAAACAUGGAACUUGUGCUGUGGACAAACCCUAUAUCUUCAAUGAGAAAUCUUACUUUGAGAUGGGGAUCAAACUUAACAAGCAAUAUAACCUUAGACAUAUUUAUGAAAGGAGUGGCAUUAUUGCAGUGAACUAUACAUCUUACAAGUGUGAAGACUUCAGAAAUGUAAUCAAAAAAAAUUGGAAUGUUGAGUCUAUUAUAACCUGUGUUCACAGUAAGGAACACAGACAAUAUAUCUUGCAGACUGAAAUUUGUUUUGAUAAAAGUUUCAAACCAAUAGACUGUAAACGGGAUCAAAAAUGCCUUCAAUGCUCACAAAAAGAGAACAUUUGGUAUCCCCCAUUAGAGAACACAGCUACACCUGUUUCUUCACUGUUGGGAAGAGAACACCAUGCAAAUCUUUUAUGGGAGUUUGUACCUACAAGAAUGAUAAUAGUGGCACUAGCAAUGGUGUUAGCAGUAGAGGGUACUGUUGAAUUGCUGACAUAGGAAGAGAAAUCCACUUCAAUGAUACCCAUCUGUGCAAUAAGAAGGUGCAUCUCCUUUCUUUAUUCUAAAUUUACAUUUACAUAAUACAUUGUGAAGUGUAUUUUAUUUCAUUUGUCUUCAUUUAAUUUUUAAAUAUGAAGUUAUAUUUUAUGCUGGACUCACAAUACACCUUUUAAUAAUAAUAAUAAUAAUAAUAAUAAUAAUAAAUAAUUAAGGUAUAGAGCCAAUGAUUUUGAAAGGAGAAGUCACUUGAUUAAAUUACUCCCAGAUUGUGACUGUUACAUUAUUUUCUCACUCCCAGAGAUAGAAGGUAAAGUAGAUCUUGACAGGAUUUGAAAUCAAAAUCUUAAAAGCCAAUGCUUUUUGAUUCUACCAAUAAUAAAACUAUGAUAGUAUUUUGAACAGGAAUGGGGAGGUGCCUGAUUACAUGUAAUGAAAAUGCAGAAUAGAUCAAAAUAGUUGAGAUGGAACUGAGCAAUACAAAGAAGUAAAUACCAUUCUCUAUAACUAGGGACAAUGUCCUGAAGCAGUAAAAGACACUACCAAACUGGAGAACCCCAAGAGCAAAUAGGAUCCAAGGACUUUGAAUAGAACAUUUGAAAUCCUUUCAUGGUCAAAUCAGAAAUCAUCCAAAUGAAGUAGAAAAAUUAUUGCUCAGUCAGCUUCCUCUGUUACUAAGAGGCAUUUUAUGCAGAUCAGAUUGCUGUUAGCAGACUGCUGCUAUAAAGAAUGCAAUAAACAUUCAAAAGACAUUGAAGACCAUCAACAAAAUAAUAGUGAAACAUCAAGAGACUAAUCUGUGCAGGAUGUGGGUCAACUUCAAAAAAGCCUGUGGUGUACUGCUGCAUUCUUGAAUUAUAGUAUGACUUUGAAUGUUCAGCAUAGCUGAAUAGGUCAUUAUUAGACAGAAGCAAAUGCCGGUCAUUUAUAUAUGGGAUGCAAGGUUAAAGGGAGAUAACUUUUAAAGUAUUUUCUGUUGUGUCUGGGUAGAGUUAUUUUCUUUUUGUGCCUUAUAAUAUAACACAUGCACCGGUAAAAUUUCCACUUAUUUCUUAUUUUUAUUUUCCUAAAAUUUUUGUUGCGUCUUGCAACCUUUUCAAUAGUCUUGACUCUUAAAGUAUUUCUGAUUGUAAAUGAAGUGCAACUGUCAGUUGAACCAUAUCUUGCAAAAAAUAAAGAACUACUUGAACCUAUCGCAAAAGAACUAGAACUUGUUUACGUUGAAUUUGAAGAAAAUUAUAUACAAUAAAUUGUAAAAGAAAGGAAGCAAUAGAGAAAAAUGCAGUUUUAUGGAAAGUUCCUCAGAGAUGCUGAGAGUGAGAAAUUCAAGACUCAUCAUGAAGAGUAAAAUAGAAAGUUUGUUGGCAGCUGUUCCAGAUCAAGCCUCAAAUACUAAUUCAGUGAAUAAAGGUAUUUAUUUUUCCCACUUCAGGGAAUAAAUGCCAGUUAUGUAAUCACCAAGUGGAAAACAUUGACCACAUUGUAACAGGCCGUAAAAUAUUAGCUAAGAAAGAAUACAAAUGAUGGCAUGUUAAUGUCUGUCUUAAUUUACACCAAUCACUUUGGUGCAUGCAUGCAUAUGUGUGUAUGGAUACCCAGUUCAUUAUUUUUCAUGCCUUCAUAAGAUCUAUGCACAAACUCCAAAAUAGG